Molecule: long non-coding RNA, 902 nt
Organism: Ceratitis capitata (Mediterranean fruit fly)
Lineage: Eukaryota; Metazoa; Arthropoda; Insecta; Diptera; Tephritidae
Exons: 3
Source: RefSeq, a predicted model, not a curated record
GCUGGAUUAAUUGACUGAAGUUCUUUAAUUUCCUUCAGAAGUCUUAGACUUCAAAAAGAAAAGAAAACAGAAAAAAAUAACAUACCUCUUAUUAAAAUGUCUCGGGAAGAAAAACAGAAUUUUACAACAUAAUAAAGCUCACUUUGAGUGCUGGUCGCAGCAGGGACGAGUGGUUACCAGUGUUUUCAAAGUGCAAUAUAGUGAUGGAUUCAAGCUCUGGCCAGACCAACUUAUCAAUAUUAGCUUCUAAGCAGAGAGUGCCGGUCUCUCCGAUAUAAAAUAUAAUAAAAACUUUGUAACCGGUGUAGAGAUUUUUAGCCGAGCUCCUGCUCCAAUUGGUUGUGAGCGUUCUGAUGCUUUCCAACAAAUCUUUUGCUCGGAGGGCGAUCGCAAUUCGAAAAUAAUUUGUACGUUAUUCGGACUUGUACUCUGGACAUUGGAUUGUGGCCUUCCGAAUGGUAGUUCGCAAUUCUAACCACUCGGCUAUUAUAGCUUCAGCUUAAGAAUCCCUCAGGCAUUCAAAAGCGGCUUAAAAGUCUCGGUCUCUCUACUAUCUACUACUAUCUCUACUAUCAUUAGGAAACACAACAAAAAUCAAAGAAAAAGGUGGAAUAUGAAAUUUAUGGAAAGUGAAAGGUGGAAAACAACGUAAAAUGGCUCUUAAUAACUGCUAAUAUCAGGGAAACAUAUCAGUACCGAGAACCACUCGGACUUUGUUAACUGUGUCUUGACAAUCUCAUUCAGACCAAAAUUAAGGAAAAGGAAGGGAAGGUAGUGCCCGGGUUACAUUCAGCUGAAUUUAUAUCUUUCCGACGGGAGCCAAUUGCGAUGCCAAAACGACGCGUCCAAAACCCUAAGCAAAUAAAUGAAUUUUAUUUUAUUCCCCAUUCUAAUUUGUGGUU